This 77-nucleotide transfer RNA is filed under the name Bacillota bacterium. Its description in RNAcentral is "tRNA-Val". It matches the Rfam family "tRNA". From Rfam's summary of the family: Transfer RNA (tRNA) molecules are approximately 80 nucleotides in length. Their secondary structure includes four short double-helical elements and three loops (D, anti-codon, and T loops). Further hydrogen bonds mediate the characteristic L-shaped molecular structure. tRNAs have two regions of fundamental functional importance: the anti-codon, which is responsible for specific mRNA codon recognition, and the 3' end, to which the tRNAs corresponding amino acid is attached (by aminoacyl-tRNA synthetases). tRNAs cope with the degeneracy of the genetic code in two manners: having more than one tRNA (with a specific anti-codon) for a particular amino acid; and 'wobble' base-pairing, i.e. permitting non-standard base-pairing at the 3rd anti-codon position. The record is from RNAcentral. Lineage: Bacteria; Bacillati; Bacillota.
GGGCGCGUAGCUCAGAUGGUUAGAGCGCUACCUUGACAAGGUAGAGGUCGUAGGUUCGAUCCCUAUCGUGCCCACCA